GGGGAGUGAAAUAGAACCUGAAACCGUGUGCUUACAAGUAGUCAGAGCCCGUUAAUGGGUGAUGGCGUGCCUUUUGUAGAAUGAACCGGCGAGUUACGAUUUGAUGCAAGGUUAAGCAGUAAAUGUGGAGCCGUAGCGAAAGCGAGUCUGAAUAGGGCGUUUAGUAUUUGGUCGUAGACCCGAAACCAGGUGAUCUACCCUUGGUCAGGUUGAAGUUCAGGUAACACUGAAUGGAGGACCGAACCGACUUACGUUGAAAAGUGAGCGGAUGAACUGAGGGUAGCGGAGAAAUUCCAAUCGAACCUGGAGAUAGCUGGUUCUCUCCGAAAUAGCUUUAGGGCUAGCCUCAAGUGAUGAUUAUUGGAGGUAGAGCACUGUUUGGACGAGGGGCCCCUCUCGGGUUACCGAAUUCAGACAAACUCCGAAUGCCAAUUAAUUUAACUUGGGAGUCAGAACAUGGGUGAUAAGGUCCGUGUUCGAAAGGGAAACAGCCCAGACCACCAGCUAAGGUCCCAAAAUAUAUGUUAAGUGGAAAAGGAUGUGGCGUUGCCCAGACAACUAGGAUGUUGGCUUAGAAGCAGCCAUCAUUUAAAGAGUGCGUAAUAGCUCACUAGUCGAGUGACACUGCGCCGAAAAUGUACCGGGGCUAAACAUAUUACCGAAGCUGUGGAUUGUCCUUUGGACAAUGGUAGGAGAGCGUUCUAAGG
RNAcentral lists this ribosomal RNA (707 nucleotides) under Staphylococcus aureus. Its description in RNAcentral is "partial 23S ribosomal RNA". It matches the Rfam family "Bacterial large subunit ribosomal RNA", at positions 533 to 1246 of the family's 2925-position model. The record is from RNAcentral. Lineage: Bacteria; Bacillati; Bacillota; Bacilli; Caryophanales; Staphylococcaceae.